This 498-nucleotide ribosomal RNA is filed under the name uncultured bacterium. RNAcentral's name for it is "partial 16S ribosomal RNA". It matches the Rfam family "Bacterial small subunit ribosomal RNA", at positions 28 to 507 of the family's 1533-position model. The record is from RNAcentral.
GACGAACGCUGGCGGCGUGCCUAAUACAUGCAAGUCGAACGAGAGCGACCGGUGCUUGCACUGGUCAAUCUAGUGGCGAACGGGUGAGUGACACGUGGGUAACCUGCCCAUCAGAGGGGGAUAACAUCCGGAAACGGAUGCUAAAACCGCAUAGGUCUUCGAACCGCAUGGUUUGAAGAGGAAAAGAGGCGCAAGCUUCUGCUGAUGGAUGGACCCGCGGUGCAUUAGCUAGUUGGUGAGGUAACGGCUCACCAAGGCCGUGAUGCAUAGCCGACCUGAGAGGGUGAUCGGCCACAUUGGGACUGAGACACGGCCCAAACUCCUACGGGAGGCAGCAGUAGGGAAUCUUCCGCAAUGGACGCAAGUCUGACGGAGCAACGCCGCGUGAGUGAAGAAGGUUUUCGGAUCGUAAAACUCUGUUGUUAGAGAAGAACAAGUGCUAGAGUAACUGUUAGCGCCUUGACGGUAGCUAACCAGAAAGCCACGGCUAACUACGUG